Molecule: ribosomal RNA, 795 nt
Filed under: uncultured candidate division CAB-I bacterium
Lineage: Bacteria
Description: bacterial SSU rRNA
Rfam family: Bacterial small subunit ribosomal RNA
Source: RNAcentral
GCAAAUCGAAUGAAAAUAAUUAUUUAUUGUUUUCAUGGUGAACGGGUGAGUAAUACAUAAGAAUCAGCUUUUAGAUAAGGCAUAAAAGAGUAAUAUCUCGGUAAUUCCUUAUAUGCGCAGUAGUGCUUAAAAAGGGUAGUCCCGUCUAAAAACGAGCUUAUGCCUGAUUAGCUAGUUGGCGAGUUAAAAGCUCACCAAGGCGAAGAUCAGUAGCUGGCCUGAGAGGGCGGCCAGCCACAUUGGGACUGAGACACGGCCCAAACUCCUACGGGAGGCAGCAGUGGGGAAUCUUCUGCAAUGGGCGCAAGCCUGACAGAGCGGCGUCAUGUGAAGGAAGAAGGCCUUAAAUAGGUUGUAAACUUCUUUUACUGAGUAAUGAAUAAUGACAACGCAGUAAAAAAGUAUCGGCUAACUCCGUGCCAGCAGCCGCGGUAAUACGGGGGAUGCAAGCGUUAUCCGGAAUAACUGGGCGUAAAGCGUCUGUAGGUGGUUUAGUGUGUUCUUAGUUAAAUUAUGAAGCCUAACUUCAUGAAAAGUAAGAAAACUAUUAGACUUGAGUACGAUAGGGGUAAGAGGAAUUCUUCGAGAAGUAGUGAAAUGCGAAGAUACGAAGGAGAAGAUCAUAAGCGAAGGCUUCUUACUGGGUCGUAACUGACACUGAGAGACGAAAGCUAGGGGAGCGAAUGGGAUUAGAUACCCCAGUAGUCCUAGCUGUAAACGAUGGAUAUUCGGUGCCGGAAAGUUGAGUAGAAUAUUUCGGUACCCUAGCUAACGCGUUAAAUAUCCCGCCUGAGG